GGACUACCAGGGUUUCUAAUCCUGUUUGCUCCCCUAGCUUUCGCAGAUCAGCGUCAGUGAUGGUCCAGAAGACUGCUUUCGCCAUAGGUAUUCCUCCCGAUAUCUACGCAUUUCACCGCUACACCGGGAAUUCCAUCUUCCUCUACCACACUCUAGCCUGAUAGUUUCCGUUGACCUCUCCCAGUUAAGCCGGGAGCUUUCACAACAGACUUAUCAAACCGCCUACCUGCGCUUUACGCCUAGUGAUUCCGAGUAUCGCUUGCCACCUACGUAUUACCGCGGCUGCUGGCAC
Molecule: ribosomal RNA, 292 nt
Filed under: uncultured bacterium
Lineage: Bacteria
Description: partial 16S ribosomal RNA
Source: RNAcentral